Non-coding RNA from Acipenser ruthenus (sterlet), 1065 nucleotides. Lineage: Eukaryota; Metazoa; Chordata; Actinopteri; Acipenseriformes; Acipenseridae. The record is from the annotation of a RefSeq genome assembly.
AGAAAAGCAGUCAUCAGAUCAGAGGAGCUGCUAAAAUGAACAGACUCUUCUUGCUUAAUGUAUUGUUCUGCAUCGUAUAUGAGAUUCCAGCACAGCUCGUUGUCCAGCCACGUCUAUCAGUGACAGCCCAGCUUGGAGAGUCUGUGACCCUGGAGUGCUCUACAUCGCGUACUCAGCACCAUGAUUUGGUUUGGUUCAAGCAAGUCAUUGGACAGCCUCCUAGGUAUAUAGGCCUAAGGAAAGCUUCUGAACAAUCAGAGCCUACAUUUUAUAAAGAUUUUGAUAAUAAAAAACGUUUCCAAAUUCUAACAAAUGAAAGCAGUUUUAACCUCACAGUUUUAAAGAUGGAAUCGUCGGAUAUGGCUGUUUAUUACUGCGCAGCACUGAAAGACAAUCAAGUGUUUUUUGGGAAUGGAGCUGCACUGCUGCUUAAAGGUAUUGAAUCCGGAGGAAGGAUUAUUCAGCCUCCUAUCUCUGAAUCAGUGCAGUCUUACUAUUGUACAGAGGUGUCAUGUGAGGAGGACAUUACUGGAAAUGGAACCAAGAAGAACAGUACGGAUUAUAACCAGAACAUGCACAUGCUUGUGAUUCUCUCAUUUGCAAGGAGUGGAUGUCUUGUCAUUGCAAUCCCAAUAAUUAUAAUGUUCUUAAGAAGAAAAUGACCAACAUAAGUAUAAGGAAAGAUGAGAUUCUGGCCUGAAGCCCCCAAAAAGGAACAUUUUCACAAAUAAAGAAGCUUAUUAAAUGCUUAUAGAUGCUAUAGUUUUGCUAAUUGCAAUGGUAGGAAAUGUCCAAAUGUCCUGAAUUUCCAGACCAUGAACUGAAGCAGACAAAUGAACAAUGACAAAGAUGAAGGAUUUCAUUACUGUGGAGUUAUUCCACUGAGCUGCAGUAUUUUCAUCGUAGUAAAUAUGGCUAAUUUGUCCUGCUUUGCAAAGCAAUCUGUUUAAACUGCUUCACAAUUAUGAACAUUGUAUUUUGUUUUGCCUAAGCAGAUAAGAACUAUGUCUGUAAUCACAAUUGUACCUUUAGUUCAGUAAAUGCACAAUAAACCACGAUGCUUUC